Long non-coding RNA from Lynx canadensis (Canada lynx), 798 nucleotides. RefSeq lists it as uncharacterized. The record is from RefSeq and is a predicted model, not a curated record. The transcript has 4 exons. Lineage: Eukaryota; Metazoa; Chordata; Mammalia; Carnivora; Felidae.
AGUCUGGAGAGCUAGCCUCGGGGGCGGGGCCGGGCGUCAGCUCCUCGCCUUUUAGGCGCUGGGUAGUCUAUCUGCAGGAGCACCUUGCGUUGGGUCACACGGGUAUUGUGGCUGGAACCCAGAUAUCUGGCUCCAAGUCCACUCCUCCCUAUUUCGACAUCACUCUGGUGCCUCCAGAUACGCGUCUGGAACGUGAACCCUGGCCAUUGCCUCCUGCCAAGCCAAACCCUGCAGCAACUGAGAGACUGGUGAUGCCAUUUUUGGAGACAGGGGACAGUGAAGGAGAAGUUGGACUGGAAGUGAGAGAGUGAUCAAUUCAGCUGUGGACACGUGCAUGCAAGCACUUCCAGCUCAGGGGCUUAUUUAGAGAAGCCAGAAGAUUGGAUUUUUUUCCUGAAUUGGAGUGCUCCCAGGCAGAUGUGACAGAAGAAAAACUGCACAAUGGAGACUGUCCAGUUCUCCUCCUCUUCACCAUCGCUCCAGUCCAAGUCUAAGCGAGCUCCAGCUUCAUCGUCUUUUGCCCAGAUGACUGCAUUGGCUUCCCAGCUGGUCCUACCAGGGCUUCUGUGAGCCUUUUUCAUUUUGAUCUUAACUUCAGCAGCCAAAGUGAUUUUACACAAGAUAAAUUUUAUCAGUUUCCCACUGUCCUAAACUUUCUAGCAUGGCCUACAAAGGUCUUACCUGGUCUUAGCUCUUCUAUUCUCUCUAGUGGCUCUCACCCUAUUCCUUACUCUCUAAACUCUCAGUUCCUUUUCUUGUCUUUUUUUUUUUUUUUUUUUUUUUUUUGGUGUGGUAAAA